AGAUUAAGUUAUUAAGGGCGCACGGUGGAUGCCUUGGCACUAGAAGCCGAUGAAGGACGUUACUAACGACGAUAUGCUUUGGGGAGCUGUAAGUAAGCGUUGAUCCAGAGAUUUCCGAAUGGGGAAACCCAGCAUGAGUUAUGUCAUGUUAUCGAUAUGUGAAUACAUAGCAUAUCAGAAGGCAGACCCGGAGAACUGAAACAUCUUAGUACCCGGAGGAAGAGAAAGAAAAAUCGAUUCCCUGAGUAGCGGCGAGCGAAACGGGAAGAGCCCAAACCAACAAGCUUGCUUGUUGGGGUUGUAGGACACUCUAUACGGAGUUACAAAAGUAUAUAUUAGACGAAUCAUCUGGAAAGUUGAAUCAAAGAAGGUAAUAAUCCUGUAGUCGAAAAUAUAUGCUCUCUUGAGUGGAUCCUGAGUACGACGGAGCACGUGAAAUUCCGUCGGAAUCUGGGAGGACCAUCUCCUAAGGCUAAAUACUCUCUAGUGACCGAUAGUGAACCAGUACCGUGAGGGAAAGGUGAAAAGUACCCCGGAAGGGGAGUGAAAGAGAACUUGAAACCGUGUGCUUACAAGUAGUCAGAGCCCGUUAAUGGGUGAUGGCGUGCCUUUUGUAGAAUGAACCGGCGAGUUACGAUUUGAUGCAAGGUUAAGCAGCUAAUGUGGAGCCGUAGCGAAAGCGAGUCUGAAUAGGGCGUUUAGUAUUUGGUCGUAGACCCGAAACCAGGUGAUCUACCCUUGGUCAGGUUGAAGUUCAGGUAACACUGAAUGGAGGACCGAACCGACUUACGUUGAAAAGUGAGCGGAUGAACUGAGGGUAGCGGAG
Molecule: ribosomal RNA, 826 nt
Filed under: Listeria monocytogenes
Lineage: Bacteria; Bacillati; Bacillota; Bacilli; Caryophanales; Listeriaceae
Description: partial 23S ribosomal RNA
Rfam family: Bacterial large subunit ribosomal RNA
Source: RNAcentral